Molecule: microRNA precursor, 73 nt
Organism: Erinaceus europaeus (western European hedgehog)
Lineage: Eukaryota; Metazoa; Chordata; Mammalia; Eulipotyphla; Erinaceidae
Gene: MIR27B
Product: microRNA 27b
Source: Ensembl
AGGUGCAGAGCUUAGCUGAUUGGUGAACAGUGACUGGUUUCCGCUUUGUUCACAGUGGCUAAGUUCUGCACCU